AGAGUUUGAUCCUGGCUCAGAGUGAACGCUGGCGGCAGGCCUAACACAUGCAAGUCGAACGGCAGCACAGCAGUAGCAAUACUGUGGGUGGCGAGUGGCGGACGGGUGAGGAAUGCGUCGGAAUCUGCCUAUUUGUGGGGGAUAACGUAGGGAAACUUACGCUAAUACCGCAUACGACCUACGGGUGAAAGUGGGGGACCUUCGGGCCUCACGCAGAUAGAUGAGCCGACGCCGGAUUAGCUAGUUGGCGGGGUAAAGGCCCACCAAGGCGACGAUCCGUAGCUGGUCUGAGAGGAUGAUCAGCCACACUGGGACUGAGACACGGCCCAGACUCCUACGGGAGGCAGCAGUGGGGAAUAUUGGACAAUGGGCGCAAGCCUGAUCCAGCCAUGCCGCGUGUGUGAAGAAGGCCUUCGGGUUGUAAAGCACUUUUGUCCGGAAAGAAAUCCUUUCGAUUAAUACUCGGGAGGGAUGACGGUACCGG
RNAcentral lists this ribosomal RNA (484 nucleotides) under uncultured bacterium. RNAcentral's name for it is "bacterial SSU rRNA". It matches the Rfam family "Bacterial small subunit ribosomal RNA", at positions 8 to 481 of the family's 1533-position model. The record is from RNAcentral.